GUUCAGUUGGCAAGGUGGAAAGGUGUGGACUAUCCAUUUAUCUACAUCUCCUUCAACCGGUACAUAUUGUAGAUUGAUAGUUCUGUGAAUCAGUAUCUCUCUGGUUUUUGACUUCAUGUCCACUCUUUAAUUUUAUGAAACUGCAAUGAGAAAGUCUAGUACUUGACUAAAUUUACAAACACCUGGACUCUUUAAUUUUAUGAAACUUCUAUAAGAAAGUCUAUUACUUGACUAAACUUACAAACACCUGGGAUCACUAGCCCUUUUGGAUGAUACCAAAUCAUCACUGUAGUAGCAUAAUAUGUUACGGCUGGUAAAGUUUUUGAAGCAAGCUGUUCUCCUAGUUUUUCCCUUCCUGGGUCAUAAAGUACAACAACAACAACUACCCAGUAUACUCCCACCAGGUGGGGUUUGGGAGGGUAAUAUGUAGACAAGCCUUACCCCUACCCGAAAGGGCAGAGAGGCUGUUUCCAAUCAACCCCCGGCUCAUAGGAUAAAAGGAAAAAACAACAGUAAAACAAAACAAAGACAAAAACAAAAACAAUAGAGCAUCAGUAACUCCAGCAGAAAUAGCGGAAAUAGCGUAAAAUAAUUAUCUAAACAUACGGAACAUAAAUACAAUCGCAUGCAAUACUAUCAUACAACAACUACCAUAACUAACCGCCAUAGGGGGGACAUACGCUAAAACACAAAUCAUCUAUGGGUAACCCUGCUGACCCACACCCNNNN
Molecule: long non-coding RNA, 729 nt
Filed under: Nicotiana benthamiana
Lineage: Eukaryota; Viridiplantae; Streptophyta; Magnoliopsida; Solanales; Solanaceae
Description: long non-coding RNA (NBEN_LNC006893)
Source: RNAcentral